UAAAUGUAAAUUCGUUUUUAACGAGAUAUUUCCAUAGGUGCGCGGCCUGCAGAGAAGAUUGCACUCUGUUGGCGAGACGGGGAAACGAAAUCGUCGAACUAGUCGAGACUGAGAUUCCUCCCUGUUAAAACGACGUUAAUCCCUUUUAUAAUAAUAUCCGCGUAGAUUGAAGGACAACUUAAUUAGCCGAGAUCGUUAGAAUCCCCGUGAAAGGCCACGACGAUGCUCCCCAUCGGACUAGAGAAUUCGCCGAUUAUGUGGAGAAUAACCUUCGUUCCUAUUAUAGAUUCAUUUUCAGGUUAGAAAUAAGCCUUACGAUCAGUCUCGUACGAGGUUCACGUGCUUACAUUAUUUCUUUUACCAAAAGUGACAAUAAGUGUAAAUAGUGGAGAGAGUAGUAUUCUAAUAUAAGUAUUCUAAUAUAAUCCUAAUGAUUAGUGCUUUUAAUAAAAUUCUUCGUUGAAAUAUAAGAAAACGAAAUAGAGAAUUCGAAAAUAUUAAAUUGAGAAUUUUGACUUUCUCGUGAAGAUUAGGAUUAUUUUUUUAAUUUUUUGUAAAUCGCAAAAUUAUUCAGCUCCUUGAAAUUCUGAAAAAUUCUGAUCUUAUUUUAAUAUAACCAUCUCGAAAAACGACGUUUUCGAACUAUGAUAUACUUUCGAGACCCGACUCGAUACGAUUCGACCCGAUCUUUCCCGAUCUAUUCCGAACGUUCUCGACAUUUUCGGGUUCUCGCACACCUUUAAAGCGAAACAACAAUUAAUCUACCCAGAAGAUAAAGUGAUAAUAUAAUAAUAAAACUAGAAUAUCCCUCGGGCAUUGUAAACUUAUUUUAAUGUAAACUUAACGUAACGGACAUAACCUUAACCUAACUCAAAUCUAAAUGUCUAACCUUUGCAAAAUAACAGAGAAGUAAAAUUGAAUUUACGUCUAAUUAAAAAAUAAUCGAAUAUGUGUUUACAUAUAUAGUGUUACAAAAUAGAAUUUUCUGUGCAACGAAGAAAUACCUGUGCAACGAGCAGAUUGAAUUAAUUUUUUAAUUUCAACGAGAUUUUCAGACGAGAGAGCAGAACACAUGGUAACAUUUCACGAAUUGAAUCCGGACGAGGCGUACUUCCAUAUGCAACCGUAUGGCCUUUGAAUACGAUCGGACUGGACGAUAAACUGGCGAGAAAUUAGCUGGUAUAAAUCACACGCGGAAUACUAUAAUGACAAAAUCUAAUGUACAGACGCCGUUGGGAGAUCGGAGUUCAACUAAUUUUCAGAAACUCUAAGGGUACAAUCGUGCAAAAUUAGAUGCAAUUCCCAGGAGACGGACGAAAAUCCACCAAGUAACCAAAUAUCCUGAAUCGAAAUGCUUCUCUUUGACAUACAUAUGUAAUAUGUAACGUAAUAUCAUAUACAAGAGAUAGAGAAGAGAACUAGAACUAGCAAAUCGGUUAAAUUGAUUGCUCUCAUUUAUUAUUACCAAAUAUAAGUAUAUUUCGAUAAAAUUAAUAUCAUUUCAAUUACUAUUUUAUUUUAAUUAAUCGUGCACGAUAUAUGAAUAUUGCAGAUAAUUUUAAUAUCAAAGAAUAAACCGUGAAGAAAGAAAAAAAAUCAAAAUUUUCAACUAACUACUAAUUGUGGGAUACUACAAGCUCGUAUAAAAGUUUAAUAUGCUGCGCAGUUACAGUAACGAGUAUCUGAUUAUGGAUAUUAUACAUUCUUAAUUUAUUUAACGUUUUCUCUCGACGAACGAGAUAUUCUUUUUUUCUUAAUUUGCAGGAACUUCAUUUCAAUUACACUGGAAGCUGUGUUCAGGAAGUUUAAUAUGCAAUUAUCGUUCUGGAAUAAAUGAAAGAGCAGUGUCAAUCGAGGAAAACACGAAGGUUAAAAACAAUUGACUAACGACAUAAAGGAAUACGUAAUAAGAGCAUACGAGUCAAAGGUAAAUGUUCGCGUUAAUAGGCAAUUACCAAGCAGUUUCCGCGUGGAACAUGUUCCUCUCGAUGAAAGCCUUACGCUUGCCGACCGUAUAAUCGAAAAUUAGGGUGCAGUUAGCAAGUGCUUAAGCAACAACUGUUUAUUGAUAUAGUUAAUGAAUUUCCGCGCAAACUGUUGUGCCUCGAUAAAUAUCAUUGCUGGGACGUUGGUCGUGAAAUACAAAAUGGAAAAAUAUCAUUGAAAUAAUUAUUUCUCUUCUUGUUCGUUCAUAGACCACUUAUAUAAUAAAAUAUAACGAUCAAUUUCUACAUCGAUGUACGAGCUUGAAAAAUUCUAAAUUUAUAAUUAUUAUUUUAGAAGCUAUGUAAUUAAACCUCGUUAAAAUUAAUGAGUUUUUUUACGUGAAUAAUAUUAAAUAAAUAAUGGAAUAAUUUGUAAGAGAAGAAAUUUUGUACCAACAGUUGAAGAUUAAUUUAUUAAUAUAAGAAAGACGACAAA
Apis cerana (Asiatic honeybee) is the source of this 2421-nucleotide long non-coding RNA. RefSeq lists it as uncharacterized. NCBI's taxonomy places the organism in Eukaryota, Metazoa, Arthropoda, Insecta, Hymenoptera, Apidae. The record is from RefSeq and is a predicted model, not a curated record.